AUUCUUUUAGUACAAAUAGUAUAUUUAACUUCCAAUUAAAAGAUCUUAAUUUAAGAAAGAAUA
RNAcentral lists this transfer RNA (63 nucleotides) under Cardiastethus sp. Its description in RNAcentral is "tRNA-Gly". The record is from RNAcentral. Lineage: Eukaryota; Metazoa; Arthropoda; Insecta; Hemiptera; Anthocoridae.